RNAcentral lists this transfer RNA (83 nucleotides) under Candidatus Ancillula glyptotermitis. RNAcentral describes it as "tRNA-Tyr". It matches the Rfam family "tRNA". From Rfam's summary of the family: Transfer RNA (tRNA) molecules are approximately 80 nucleotides in length. Their secondary structure includes four short double-helical elements and three loops (D, anti-codon, and T loops). Further hydrogen bonds mediate the characteristic L-shaped molecular structure. tRNAs have two regions of fundamental functional importance: the anti-codon, which is responsible for specific mRNA codon recognition, and the 3' end, to which the tRNAs corresponding amino acid is attached (by aminoacyl-tRNA synthetases). tRNAs cope with the degeneracy of the genetic code in two manners: having more than one tRNA (with a specific anti-codon) for a particular amino acid; and 'wobble' base-pairing, i.e. permitting non-standard base-pairing at the 3rd anti-codon position. Lineage: Bacteria; Bacillati; Actinomycetota; Actinomycetes; Bifidobacteriales; Bifidobacteriaceae. The record is from RNAcentral.
GGCGGAUUGCCAGAGUGGUCAAUUGGGCUUGACUGUAAAUCAAGUGUUCUUUAGCUACGCAGGUUCGAACCCUGCAUCCGCCA